UGCCUUUUGUUUCCCUGGGGAGUGGUUUGGCGUUGCACCUGUGUGUCUAGCGUCAGUGAGCGCUGAUGCACGGAGCUGGUGAGUUCCGUUUGUGUCUCUCUCCGUUAGAUUUUUAUGUUAACCCCUUGUUUGUUGCCCUUGAACGGCUGUGGUGGUUCACACUGCUUUGCGACGUGCUUUUAGGCACGCGGGAGAAACUCUGAGUGGAGAGUGAUAUCCCGGAUUGUGUGUGACGCCCGUGUUGUUUUGUCUCCUUUGGAAAGAAUAAACCUCCAGUA
Molecule: long non-coding RNA, 278 nt
Organism: Gadus morhua (Atlantic cod)
Lineage: Eukaryota; Metazoa; Chordata; Actinopteri; Gadiformes; Gadidae
Exons: 3
Source: RefSeq, a predicted model, not a curated record